This 418-nucleotide ribosomal RNA is filed under the name uncultured prokaryote. RNAcentral's name for it is "bacterial SSU rRNA". It matches the Rfam family "Archaeal small subunit ribosomal RNA", at positions 455 to 873 of the family's 1478-position model. The record is from RNAcentral.
GUGUCAGCAGCCGCGGUAAUACCAGCUCUCCGAGUGGUAGGGACGAUUAUUGGGCUUAAAGCGUCCGUAGCCGGCUUAGCAAGUCUCCUGUUAAAUUCAGCGACCUAAUCGUUGAGCCGCGGGAGAUACUACUAGGCUAGGAGGCGGGAGAGGUCGACGGUACUUCCGGGGUAGGGGUGAAAUCCUAUAAUCCCGGGAGGACCACCAGUGGCGAAGGCUGUCGACUAGAACGCGCUCGACGGUGAGGGACGAAAGCUGGGGGAGCGAACCGGAUUAGAUACCCGGGUAGUCCCAGCCGUAAACGAUGCGGGCUAGGUGUUGGAGUGGCUACGUGCCACUUCAGUGCCGCAGGGAAGCCAUUAAGCCCGCCGCCUGGGGAGUACGGCCGCAAGGCUGAAACUUAAAUGAAUUGACGGGG